GGGAUAAUAUAUUUGAGAGGCAUCUCUUGAAUAUCAAAGGUGAGCCAGUACAGGAUGGACCCGCGUCUGAUUAGCUAGUUGGUAAGGUAACGGCUUACCAAGGCGACGAUCAGUAGCCGACCUGAGAGGGUGAUCGGCCACAUUGGAACUGAGACACGGUCCAAACUCCUACGGGAGGCAGCAGUGGGGAAUAUUGCACAAUGGGCGAAAGCCUGAUGCAGCAACGCCGCGUGAGUGAUGAAGGCCUUCGGGUCGUAAAACUCUGUCCUCAAGGAAGAUAAUGACGGUACUUGAGGAGGAAGCCCCGGCUAACUACGUGCCAGCAGCCGCGGUAAUACGUAGGGGGCUAGCGUUAUCCGGAUUUACUGGGCGUAAAGGGUGCGUAGGCGGUCUUUCAAGUCAGGAGUGAAAGGCUACGGCUCAACCGUAGUAAGCUCUUGAAACUGGGAGACUUGAGUGCAGGAGAGGAGAGUGGAAUUCCUAGUGUAGCGGUGAAAUGCGUAGAUAUUAGGAGGAACACCAGUUGCGAAGGCGGCUCUCUGGACUGUAACUGACGCUGAGGCACGAAAGCGUGGGGAGCAAACAGGAUUAGAUACCCUGGUAGUCCACGCUGUAAACGAUGAGUAC
Molecule: ribosomal RNA, 627 nt
Filed under: Clostridioides difficile
Lineage: Bacteria; Bacillati; Bacillota; Clostridia; Peptostreptococcales; Peptostreptococcaceae
Description: bacterial SSU rRNA
Rfam family: Bacterial small subunit ribosomal RNA
Source: RNAcentral